UACGGGGGGGGCAAGCGUUGUUCGGAAUUACUGGGCGUAAAGGGCUCGUAGGUGGCCAACUAAGUCAGACGUGAAAUCCCCAGGCUCAACUUGGGAACUGCGUCUGAUACUGGAUGGCUUGAAUUCGGGAGAGGGAUGCAGAAUUCCAGGUGUAGCGGUGAAAUGCGUAGAUAUCUGGAGGAAUACCGGUGGCGAAGGCGGCACCCUGGACCGAGAUUGACACUGAGUGAGCGAAAGCCAGGGGAGCAAACGGG
RNAcentral lists this ribosomal RNA (254 nucleotides) under uncultured bacterium. RNAcentral describes it as "partial 16S ribosomal RNA". It matches the Rfam family "Bacterial small subunit ribosomal RNA", at positions 524 to 776 of the family's 1533-position model. The record is from RNAcentral.